UACGUAGGCAGCAAGCGUUGUUCGGAGUUACUGGGCGUAAAGGGUGUGUAGGCGGUUAUUUAAGUUUGGUGUGAAAUCUCCCGGCUCAACUGGGAGGGUGCGCCGAAUACUGAAUGACUAGAGUGUGGGAGAGGUGAGUGGAAUUCCUGGUGUAGCGGUGAAAUGCGUAGAGAUCCGGAGGAACACCAGUGGCGAAGGCGACACGCUGGGCCGUACCUGACGCUAAAGCGCGACAGCAUGGGGAGCAAACGGG
This 253-nucleotide ribosomal RNA is filed under the name uncultured bacterium. RNAcentral's name for it is "partial 16S ribosomal RNA". It matches the Rfam family "Bacterial small subunit ribosomal RNA", at positions 524 to 776 of the family's 1533-position model. The record is from RNAcentral.